GGAGAGGUAUCGAAGUGGUCAUAACGGGGCUGACUCGAAAUCAGUUUGCGCGAUGAGCGCACGAGGGUUCGAAUCCCUCCCUCUCCGCCA
This 90-nucleotide transfer RNA is filed under the name Clostridiales bacterium. RNAcentral describes it as "tRNA-Ser". It matches the Rfam family "tRNA". From Rfam's summary of the family: Transfer RNA (tRNA) molecules are approximately 80 nucleotides in length. Their secondary structure includes four short double-helical elements and three loops (D, anti-codon, and T loops). Further hydrogen bonds mediate the characteristic L-shaped molecular structure. tRNAs have two regions of fundamental functional importance: the anti-codon, which is responsible for specific mRNA codon recognition, and the 3' end, to which the tRNAs corresponding amino acid is attached (by aminoacyl-tRNA synthetases). tRNAs cope with the degeneracy of the genetic code in two manners: having more than one tRNA (with a specific anti-codon) for a particular amino acid; and 'wobble' base-pairing, i.e. permitting non-standard base-pairing at the 3rd anti-codon position. Lineage: Bacteria; Bacillati; Bacillota; Clostridia; Eubacteriales. The record is from RNAcentral.